GUUAAUGUAGCUUAAAUAAAGCAAAGCACUGAAAAUGCUUAGAUGGGUAUUCCAUACCCCAUAAACA
This 67-nucleotide transfer RNA is filed under the name Crocidura lasiura. RNAcentral describes it as "tRNA-Phe". It matches the Rfam family "tRNA". Rfam says of the family: Transfer RNA (tRNA) molecules are approximately 80 nucleotides in length. Their secondary structure includes four short double-helical elements and three loops (D, anti-codon, and T loops). The record is from RNAcentral. Lineage: Eukaryota; Metazoa; Chordata; Mammalia; Eulipotyphla; Soricidae.